CGCAUGCGGAGCUACCAUGCAGUCGAACGGGCGUAGCAAUACGUCAGUGGCAGACGGGUGAGUAACGCGUGGGAACGUACCUUUUGGUUCGGAACAACUGAGGGAAACUUCAGCUAAUACCGGAUAAGCCCUUACGGGGAAAGAUUUAUCGCCGAAAGAUCGGCCCGCGUCUGAUUAGCUAGUUGGUGGGGUAAUGGCCCACCAAGGCGACGAUCAGUAGCUGGUCUGACAGGAUGAUCAGCCACAUUGGGACUGAAACACGGCCCAAACUCCUACGGGAGGCAGCAGUGGGGAAUAUUGGACAAUGGGCGAAAGCCUGAUCCAGCCAUGCCGCGUGAGUGAUGAAGGCCCUAGGGUUGUAAAGCUCAUUUUGUGCGGGAAGAUAAUGACGGUACCGCAAGAAUAAGCCCCGGGCUAACUUCGUCCCAGCAGCCGCGGUAAUACGAAGGGGGCUAGCGUUGCUCGGAAUCACUUGUGCGGUAAAGGGUGCGUAGGCGGGUUUCUAAGUCAGAGGUGAAAGCCUGGAGCUCAACUCCAGAACUGCCUUGGAUACUGGAAGUCUUGAGUAUGGCAGAGGUGAGUGGAACUGCGAGUGUAGAGGUGAAAUUCGUAGAUAUUCGCAAGAACACCAGUGGCGAAGGCGGCUCACUGGGCCAUUACUGACGCUGAGGCACGAAAGCGUGGGGAGCAAACAGGAUUAGAUACCCUGGUAGUGCACGCCGUAAACGAUGAAUGCCAGCCGUUAGUGGGUUUACUCACUAGUGGCGCAGCUAACGCUUUAAGCAUUCCGCCUGGGGAGUACGGUCGCAAGAUUAAAACUCAAAGGAAUUGACGGGGGCCCGCACAAGCGGUGGAGCAUGUGGUUUAAUUUGACGCAACGCGCAGAACCUUACCAGCCCUUGACAUGUCCAGGACCUGGUCGCAGAGAUGUGACCUUCUCUUUGGAGCCUGGUAGCACAGGUGCUGCAUGGCUGUCGUCAGCUCGUGUCGUGAGAUGUUGGGUUAAGUCCCGCAACGAGCGCAACCCCCGUCCUUAGUUGCUACCAUUUAGUUGAGCACUCUAAGGAGACUGCCGGUGAUAAGCCGCGAGGAAGGUGGGGAAGACGUCAAGUCCUCAUGGUCCCUUACGGGCUGGGCUACACACGUGGUCCAAUGGGGGUGACAAUGGGAUGCUAAGGGGCGACCCCUCGCAAAUCUCAAAAAGCCGUUUCACUUCGGAUUGGGCUGUGCAACUCGAGCCCAUGAAGUUGGAAUCGCUAGUAAUCGUGGAUCAGCAUGCCACGGUGAAUACGUUCCCGGGCCUUGUACACACCGCCCGUCACACCAUGGGAGUUGGUUUUACCCGAAGGUAGUGCGCUAACCCUCAAGGGAGGCAGCUAACCACGGUAGGGUCAGCGACUGGGGGAAGUCGAACAAGAGCAGCAC
Molecule: ribosomal RNA, 1425 nt
Filed under: Rhodopseudomonas palustris
Lineage: Bacteria; Pseudomonadati; Pseudomonadota; Alphaproteobacteria; Hyphomicrobiales; Nitrobacteraceae
Description: bacterial SSU rRNA
Rfam family: Bacterial small subunit ribosomal RNA
Source: RNAcentral